CGAACACGCACACAGAGCGGGGUGCACACGCGCAGGAAUGCAUCGGAAGUCCGCCUCCGGGGACCCACCGCAGGUCCCAGGAUAAAUACAGUGACUCUAUUUCCCAUGAGCCUAUGCGCUCCCCAAAUUUAGGAACCGUCUUAAAUGUCUCUAUCUGGUCUAGCGGUUGAAAGGCUCUAUGCUAAGAGAACUGGCAACCCGGUAUCCCAGACUCAAAUUUCUCCUUAGUUUAAGGGAACGUCUUCAUGGGGAUGUCUUGACUAUCUUUAAGGGAACGUCUAGAAAGUCUCUGCUUCAAGUUUAGCAUCUUGUAGACUGUGCCCGGGGCAGUCCUGCCUUACCCGAGAGCUCAAGGCUUAAAAUCAAUGUCCAUGUGCAACCAUGACAAGUGGAACAAGAGGGUGCAUCAUACUAGCUUAUGAUUACAAUGACACAUUUAACGAAAACAUUAGUAAAUAGAGCCCAUGGAUGAAAUAAUAGAAGAUUAACCUCGGACAGGAUACCAUCCUCGCCCCAACAAGGAAAAAAGGAAUUCCAGCUUUUCCAAAUCACUUUGAAUUUGUGAUAGCUAGAAAACUCAGAGAAUAUGUACAGAAUUGAAAGAAGAAAAAAAUUACCCAGAACUCUACUUCCUGAAGAGGAUGAGGCAAGCAGAAGAAGAAAUUUGCGUUGUAAUGGAAAACGAAGCACAUUAGAAAGCCAUGUUACUUGAUUCCAACCCUGUUGAUUAUCUUUGAGGUACUUUACACCUCUUUGAAAACUGUAGGUAAUUGAUGCAAGUUAUGUUCUGUCUAGUGGAAGUUGGUUGACUUCCGACAAUCCUCACUAGAGAAAAUCCAGUUUUGACUGCAUUUCUCCAUUUACAUAAUCAUUUCAAUAUUCCUGAUCUGCAAAUAUGUCUGUUUCUCAGAUUCGCUCUCUCUCUCUCUCUUUUUUUUUUUUUUUAAUUUUGAGACAGGGUCUCACUCCGUUGUGCAUGCUGGAGUUCAGUGGGGAGAUCCUGGCUCACUGGUUCAAGCAAUUCUCCUGCCUCAGCUUCCCAAGUAACUGGGAUUUCAGGUACACACCACCACGCCCGACUAAUUUUUGAAUUUUUGAUAUAGAUGGGGGUUUCACCAUGUUGGCCAGGCUGGUCUCAAACUCCUCACCUCAAGUGAUCCACCCACCUCAGCCUCUCAAAGUGUCGGGAUUACAGGCAUGAGCCACCAUGUCCAGUCCUCAGAUUCUCUUUUGAACCAGUUGUAAUAUCUGCCGAUUUCCUCUUGAAUUAAAUAAAAUCUUUAGCAUGUGUUCAUUUCUGUAUAUCUGUAUAAGAGUCAUGAUUUUACUUUCAUGUUUUAAGGUUUUCCAGGUCUUCAGAGAAGUCGCCGAUGGAAUCACAUGACUGAGCCAGGAAAACCUCAGGAUUGGAGUGCCUCAUGAACGGUUGAAGCCCAGGUGAAUCUUUUCUUCGCUCCCAGGAAUGAGUCCAAAGUGCCAAUAGAAAUUUGCUGGCUUCUCAUUUUUCAGUAAUUUCCCCAUUUACCAAUUCUGUGUUUUACUUUGGUUUGGGUUUGUUUACAGUGCUAGCUUCACUGUUGGUAAUUUGUUUGUUGUUGUUGUUUCGAGGCAAAGUCUCGCUCUGUCACCCAGGCUGGAGUGCAGGGGUACGAUCUCAGCUCACUGCAACCUCUGCCUCCCAGGUUCAAGUGAUUCUCCUGCCUCAACCUCCUGAGUAGCUGGGACUAUAGGUGUAUGCCACCAUGCCCAGCUAAUUUUUGUAUUUUUAGUAGAGACGGGGUUUUUCCGUAUUGGCCAGACUGGUCUCGAACUCCUGACCUCAGGUGACAGACCCGCCUUAGCCUCCCAAAGUGCUAGGAUUACAGACGUGAACCACCGCGCUGGGCUAGGAAUUUGGUUUUAUGGUCUGAACACAUGGUGAUCUCUGUAAUGAGAUCAAUGUUUGCAGAGAUUUAGUCUCUAUUGGAUGAGAGACCACAGAGUCUGAUUUGUUAUUCUAUUUGUCUGUUUACUUUGAGCUGAAAUCAAUUAAGAAUUUCAUGCCCACUGGGAGGAGAAGAGCUCUUUGAUAUCUGGAAGGCCAGACGUGCCUGCUUCCCCUUUGCCUUCUGCCAUGAUUGUCAGUUUCCUGAGGCCUCCCCAGCUAUGCUUCCUGUACAGCCUGCAGAACUAUGAGUCAAUUAAACCUCUUUUCUUCAUAAAUUACCUAGUUUCCAGUAGUUUUUUAUAGCAGUAUGAAAACACACUAAUGGACCCUUCUAGUUAAAGGAAUGCAGCCAUUCUGCUUGUUUGACUAUUUCUUUUCUCUUCUUCUAUUUCCUGGGAGGUGUUUAUCCAAGUGCAAUAGGAGGUAUUGGUGACUGCACAGUCCCCUCCGUGUUCUGCUAGUAAAUAGUUGAAGGUUGAUCAGUGAUCUCCUGCAUUUUUAGUCUGGCAUGGAAAAGCCCCCACGUAACUGGUAAAGGUAUCAGUGAGCACCAGGAGGUAUCUAAAUCCACUAGGAGCCAUAGGCAUCACGUUGACGUCCAUUUACCAGUCUUCCCUGGCAAGAUUCUUCUGAAUUGUACUGCCUUGGCCAAAAGAGGUAUGGGAGGGGCUGGGCUCAGUGGCUCACACCUGUAAUCCCAGCGUUUUGGGAAACCAGUUCGGGUGGAUCAUUAGAGGUCAGGGGUUUGAGACCAUCCUGACCAACAUGAUGACAUCCCAUUUCUAC
Molecule: non-coding RNA, 2713 nt
Organism: Macaca mulatta (Rhesus monkey)
Lineage: Eukaryota; Metazoa; Chordata; Mammalia; Primates; Cercopithecidae
Source: RefSeq, a predicted model, not a curated record